GAGAGAAGCUGGGGGGACAAAAAAAAAGAGAGCCGCUCUUUCUUAGGGGUAUGAACCGUCAUGAUGGAGGAGAAGGGGUGAGCCAGCCUGGUGGUGGAGCGGAGGGGGGUUUAGAGCGGCCUAAGGCGGCGGACGUGCGCGCGGCCUCCACUCGGCGGGAGCCUAGGCGCCGGCGGACCCGGCGAGCGGCGGGCCUCCGGGGCGCAAGCCGCAGCGUCACCGCUCCCGACUGAGGGCAAGGAGCGCACCAACGUCCAGGACUGUUUUUAGCGGGCCUCGAGCGCGCGCAGAGGGGGCCCCACCAGCGGGCCGCGCCGCGGCUCGGUACCUUAUGCCCGGGAGCCUGUCGUCGCCUUGACUACUACUGGAAGGUGGUGGUAUAGGCUUAUUAGGCUUAUUAUCCUCAUAUUCUCCGUCGCCCGCACGGUCACCAUUACCGUCUCGAUAACAAGGACAGUCACCAUUACCUUCCCGGUAACGAGGACGGUCGAGUAUGGGAUCUCGGGUCUGGCUAUACCUUUGUGUUUAAGUUGUCGAACUCGUUCUUCGCAUAACACGUCAAGACGCACGAAAAUUUCGAGUCAGACUACGGGAGUGUACCCUCUUCCUCCCAGACUAAUGACUUGAAUCCUUCCUCGAUUCCCAUAGGCUGUUUCUUGUGUCCCUCCACGAUUUGUCCCAGUUACCACUACUAUAAUAGGCGUCGUAUUCCCUUACCUCUAGUUGUCCUCCGGAAGUCCGUUCGAAUGGGUUAUUAGGAGUCGGAUAUGUAGUACUGGGCCGCGGAUCGGGAUGGUGGAGACCGGCAUUUUCCGUUUUCUGUAGAGUUAGGCAAGGAGGGGAUGGACAUGGCAGAGGAGGACAAUACGUAGGUGUCGUCUACCGAUGUGGUUGUGUUGGAAGUAGAAGUCGUCGAUUUUUCCCUAAAGACGGUCCGUGAUUUCCGUUUUUCUGUUUUGGUCCGGUCUUCUAUGGUCCCCCGAGACGUCAGUUUAGAUACGGUGGAUGUCGUCCAGGGUCGCCUUCCCCUGGUGUAUACUUGUCUUUGAAAGGACCAGCGGGACGACGAGGACUUGGAAGAGUUCCUGUCGUAGUAGAAUUAGGAAAUUAACCGGCAUUUCAGUACAGAGCCACCGGACUUCUAUUAUUAAAGAUACUUCGGUGAUAUUGACUAAUGUUACGCCUUUUCCUGCAAAUACGCGAUCAAAUACUGUAUUUAUGUCGAUUACUCUGGACCCUCACCCAACUAAAAUUUCUCUAUUUUGGUCUUCUGUAUUAGACCGUUCCGCUCCUGGGUCCUAAUAUAGUUCCUCCAGCACCACGAGGUCCAUCGCCCCCAUUCUUCAGUUGAUCGGCACAAUACGGGUGUGGUCCACGUCCAUCCCCCUCUCCUAAGGUUUUCUUACACAGCUUCUUUCUGAAAGGUGCAAGCGUUUUACCGCAACCCUUCUCUUCAAGACUACUGUAACUAUAUGAAGUGUGACUUUCGGACUAUUUUCUCCACCUCUCCCAGAAGUCACAAUCAGUAGGACUAGGAAACCUCCAUCUGUUCCGUUUCUUUCGCGACUUCCUCGUUCUUGUCAGCAACUAACUACGCUAUCGUUCCGAACGACUCCGUAGACUACCGCUUUCACUACUCGCGUUGGCACCGGCAUCCUACCCCGGUAUACCACCCGUGGGCGUAGUUCCUUUGAUACGCCUACGGUACCGACAACUACCGCUGGUGUACCAGCCUCCGCGGCGGUGUAUUUGCCUAACGACCUUGUACAUAUGUGUUUAAGCUAAUCUUCGGGCAGGACAACAUUUUAGAAUAAACGAUUACAAAUAAAUUUUGAAUCGGUAUCCAACUUUGGUAGACCAAAACUCUCUGCUAGUCAAAAACAAGAGAAGAAAAAAAACCCCAUCUUGACGAAUUGCACAACAUUUCGACGACGAGACGCCUCGAUAACACGAAGAACAGUAACGUGUUCACUAUCACGUCACCACUAACUAAUCUGGUCCUGUAAACUGGAGAAGAAAAGCCUUGUAACGAUUGGAAAAGUAAUAAGGCCUUAGUACAGAAUAAGUACAGUAAUAGAUGUUAGCAAUACACUCUCAUGUGUGAUCCGAUAUAAAUGUACUAGUAUGUCGGACCAUUACCCAACUGG
RNAcentral lists this ribosomal RNA (2147 nucleotides) under Triticum aestivum (bread wheat). RNAcentral describes it as "partial small subunit ribosomal RNA". The record is from RNAcentral. Lineage: Eukaryota; Viridiplantae; Streptophyta; Magnoliopsida; Poales; Poaceae.